GACGAACGCUGGCGGCGUGCUUAACACAUGCAAGUCGAACGGAAAGGCCCUGCUUGCAGGGUACUCGAGUGGCGAACGGGUGAGUAACACGUGGGUGAUCUGCCCUUCACUUCGGGAUAAGCCUGGGAAACUGGGUCUAAUACCGGAUAGGAGCCAUUUUUAGUGUGAUGGUUGGAAAGUUUUUUCGGUGUAGGAUGAGCUCGCGGCCUAUCAGCUUGUUGGUGGGGUAAUGGCCUACCAAGGCGGCGACGGGUAGCCGGCCUGAGAGGGUGGACGGCCACAUUGGGACUGAGAUACGGCCCAGACUCCUCGGGGAGGAAGCAGUGGGGAAAAUUGCAAAAUGGGGGCAAGCCUGAUGCAGCGACGCCGCGUGGGGAUGACGGCCUUCGGGUUGUAAACUCCUUUCGCUAGGGACGAAGCUUUUUGUGACGGUACCUAGAUAAGAAGCACCGGCUAACUACGUG
RNAcentral lists this ribosomal RNA (464 nucleotides) under uncultured bacterium. Its description in RNAcentral is "partial 16S ribosomal RNA". It matches the Rfam family "Bacterial small subunit ribosomal RNA", at positions 28 to 507 of the family's 1533-position model. The record is from RNAcentral.